This 2901-nucleotide ribosomal RNA is filed under the name Escherichia coli. RNAcentral describes it as "bacterial LSU rRNA". It matches the Rfam family "Bacterial large subunit ribosomal RNA". Lineage: Bacteria; Pseudomonadati; Pseudomonadota; Gammaproteobacteria; Enterobacterales; Enterobacteriaceae. The record is from RNAcentral.
UUAAGCGACUAAGCGUACACGGUGGAUGCCCUGGCAGUCAGAGGCGAUGAAGGACGUGCUAAUCUGCGAUAAGCGUCGGUAAGGUGAUAUGAACCGUUAUAACCGGCGAUUUCCGAAUGGGGAAACCCAGUGUGUUUCGACACACUAUCAUUAACUGAAUCCAUAGGUUAAUGAGGCGAACCGGGGGAACUGAAACAUCUAAGUACCCCGAGGAAAAGAAAUCAACCGAAAUUCCCCCAGUAGCGGCGAGCGAACGGGGAGCAGCCCAGAGCCUGAAUCAGUAUGUGUGUUAGUGGAAGCGUCUGGAAAGGCGCGCGAUACAGGGUGACAGCCCCGUACACAAAAAUGCACAUAUUGUGAGCUCGAUGAGUAGGGCGGGACACGUGGUAUCCUGUCUGAAUAUGGGGGGACCAUCCUCCAAGGCUAAAUACUCCUGACUGACCGAUAGUGAACCAGUACCGUGAGGGAAAGGCGAAAAGAACCCCGGCGAGGGGAGUGAAAAAGAACCUGAAACCGUGUACGUACAAGCAGUGGGAGCACGCUUAGGCGUGUGACUGCGUACCUUUUGUAUAAUGGGUCAGCGACUUAUAUUCUGUAGCAAGGUUAACCGAAUAGGGGAGCCGAAGGGAAACCGAGUCUUAACUGGGCGUUAAGUUGCAGGGUAUAGACCCGAAACCCGGUGAUCUAGCCAUGGGCAGGUUGAAGGUUGGGUAACACUAACUGGAGGACCGAACCGACUAAUGUUGAAAAAUUAGCGGAUGACUUGUGGCUGGGGGUGAAAGGCCAAUCAAACCGGGAGAUAGCUGGUUCUCCCCGAAAGCUAUUUAGGUAGCGCCUCGUGAAUUCAUCUCCGGGGGUAGAGCACUGUUUCGGCAAGGGGGUCAUCCCGACUUACCAACCCGAUGCAAACUGCGAAUACCGGAGAAUGUUAUCACGGGAGACACACGGCGGGUGCUAACGUCCGUCGUGAAGAGGGAAACAACCCAGACCGCCAGCUAAGGUCCCAAAGUCAUGGUUAAGUGGGAAACGAUGUGGGAAGGCCCAGACAGCCAGGAUGUUGGCUUAGAAGCAGCCAUCAUUUAAAGAAAGCGUAAUAGCUCACUGGUCGAGUCGGCCUGCGCGGAAGAUGUAACGGGGCUAAACCAUGCACCGAAGCUGCGGCAGCGACACUAUGUGUUGUUGGGUAGGGGAGCGUUCUGUAAGCCUGUGAAGGUGUGCUGUGAGGCAUGCUGGAGGUAUCAGAAGUGCGAAUGCUGACAUAAGUAACGAUAAAGCGGGUGAAAAGCCCGCUCGCCGGAAGACCAAGGGUUCCUGUCCAACGUUAAUCGGGGCAGGGUGAGUCGACCCCUAAGGCGAGGCCGAAAGGCGUAGUCGAUGGGAAACAGGUUAAUAUUCCUGUACUUGGUGUUACUGCGAAGGGGGGACGGAGAAGGCUAUGUUGGCCGGGCGACGGUUGUCCCGGUUUAAGCGUGUAGGCUGGUUUUCCAGGCAAAUCCGGAAAAUCAAGGCUGAGGCGUGAUGACGAGGCACUACGGUGCUGAAGCAACAAAUGCCCUGCUUCCAGGAAAAGCCUCUAAGCAUCAGGUAACAUCAAAUCGUACCCCAAACCGACACAGGUGGUCAGGUAGAGAAUACCAAGGCGCUUGAGAGAACUCGGGUGAAGGAACUAGGCAAAAUGGUGCCGUAACUUCGGGAGAAGGCACGCUGAUAUGUAGGUGAAGUCCCUUGCGGAUGGAGCUGAAAUCAGUCGAAGAUACCAGCUGGCUGCAACUGUUUAUUAAAAACACAGCACUGUGCAAACACGAAAGUGGACGUAUACGGUGUGACGCCUGCCCGGUGCCGGAAGGUUAAUUGAUGGGGUCAGCGCAAGCGAAGCUCUUGAUCGAAGCCCCGGUAAACGGCGGCCGUAACUAUAACGGUCCUAAGGUAGCGAAAUUCCUUGUCGGGUAAGUUCCGACCUGCACGAAUGGCGUAAUGAUGGCCAGGCUGUCUCCACCCGAGACUCAGUGAAAUUGAACUCGCUGUGAAGAUGCAGUGUACCCGCGGCAAGACGGAAAGACCCCGUGAACCUUUACUAUAGCUUGACACUGAACAUUGAGCCUUGAUGUGUAGGAUAGGUGGGAGGCUUGGAAGUGUGGACGCCAGUCUGCAUGGAGCCGACCUUGAAAUACCACCCUUUAAUGUUUGAUGUUCUAACGUUGACCCGUAAUCCGGGUUGCGGACAGUGUCUGGUGGGUAGUUUGACUGGGGCGGUCUCCUCCUAAAGAGUAACGGAGGAGCACGAAGGUUGGCUAAUCCUGGUCGGACAUCAGGAGGUUAGUGCAAUGGCAUAAGCCAGCUUGACUGCGAGCGUGACGGCGCGAGCAGGUGCGAAAGCAGGUCAUAGUGAUCCGGUGGUUCUGAAUGGAAGGGCCAUCGCUCAACGGAUAAAAGGUACUCCGGGGAUAACAGGCUGAUACCGCCCAAGAGUUCAUAUCGACGGCGGUGUUUGGCACCUCGAUGUCGGCUCAUCACAUCCUGGGGCUGAAGUAGGUCCCAAGGGUAUGGCUGUUCGCCAUUUAAAGUGGUACGCGAGCUGGGUUUAGAACGUCGUGAGACAGUUCGGUCCCUAUCUGCCGUGGGCGCUGGAGAACUGAGGGGGGCUGCUCCUAGUACGAGAGGACCGGAGUGGACGCAUCACUGGUGUUCGGGUUGUCAUGCCAAUGGCACUGCCCGGUAGCUAAAUGCGGAAGAGAUAAGUGCUGAAAGCAUCUAAGCACGAAACUUGCCCCGAGAUGAGUUCUCCCUGACCCUUUAAGGGUCCUGAAGGAACGUUGAAGACGACGACGUUGAUAGGCCGGGUGUGUAAGCGCAGCGAUGCGUUGAGCUAACCGGUACUAAUGAACCGUGAGGCUUAACCUU